Molecule: ribosomal RNA, 305 nt
Filed under: uncultured bacterium
Lineage: Bacteria
Description: bacterial SSU rRNA
Rfam family: Bacterial small subunit ribosomal RNA
Source: RNAcentral
GAUCUCCUCGGGGCGCAGCAGUGAGGAAUAUUGGUCAAUGGACGGAAGUCUGAACAAGCCAUGCCGCGUGCAGGAAGACGGCUCUAUGAGUUGUAAACUGCUUUUGUACGAGGGUAAACCUGAAUACGUGUAUUCAGCUGAAAGUACUGUACGAAUAAGGAUCGGCUAACUCCGUGCCAGCAGCCGCGGUAAUACGGAGGAUCCAAGCGUUAUCCGGAUUUAUUGGGUUUAAAGGGUGCGUAGGCGGAUUGAUAAGUUAGAGGUGAAAUGUCCGAGCUUAACUCGGGAACUGCCUCUAAUACUGU